This is a long non-coding RNA of Phyllostomus discolor (pale spear-nosed bat), 723 nucleotides long. RefSeq lists it as uncharacterized. The record is from RefSeq and is a predicted model, not a curated record. The transcript has 3 exons. Lineage: Eukaryota; Metazoa; Chordata; Mammalia; Chiroptera; Phyllostomidae.
CUGGAGAGGAGGGGUUGGCAGGGCUGGAGCCCCACAGAAAGACUCUCAUUUCACUGGAAGUACCACGUGCUUUAGGUUUCAUUUUAGUUUUUGGCCUUGUAGUCUUGGAGGCUGAAGAGGGUUUCCUGUAAGGUGCUGGGGUCAGAAGCUGGAGAGUGGGAAAGAGGAGGGAAACGUGUUGGCCCAACACCUGGUGGCCUCACCUUGUCACUUACUUACAGAUAAUCUAUUUUUGAUCAGGUUAGGUGUUGCUCAGAUUCCCAAACUAGAUCAUGGGGGAAAAUGUUUGCUGCAUAAAUGUAAUUCCCAAGGAAAGGUUUGUGUUGAACUGAUGUGUAUUUUACAUGACUUAGGUUAGAAACUCAGUUUCUCCUUUAGUUGUCACCUUUAAUAUGUUAUUAAUUUUAGCAAAAGAGAAGCAGGAGACUGUCUAUAGUAUUGUUUUCUGACUGAUAGUAGAUUUUACUGGGUAAAGCUUUUUACGCAUACGGGAAUCUUCAGUGUAUGGAUUGAAUUAAUUACCUUUGAAGUGCUGCUGCUUUUUUCUCAUGCAGCUCCAGGAUGACAGGCUUGAAAAGCAUAAGUAGGAUUUCCAUGCCAGGUCCCCACUGAUUUCUGCUCCUCCCAUAGGAUCCGUGUCUGACAUUACUAGUUUAUUAGUCUGCUUAUUAGCAAAACCAAAAGAAACUAAGCAAACAACUAGAACAGGAACAGAUCCACAGA